GAUGAACGCUGGCGGCGUGCCUAAUACAUGCAAGUCGAGCGAACGGACGAGAAGCUUGCUUCUCUGAUGUUAGCGGCGGACGGGUGAGUAACACGUGGAUAACCUACCUAUAAGACUGGGAUAACUUCGGGAAACCGUAGCUAAUACCGGAUAAUAUUUUGAACCGCAUGGUUCAAAAGUGAAAGACGGUCUUGCUGUCACUUAUAGAUGGAUCCGCGCUGCAUUAGCUAGUUGGUAAGGUAACGGCUUACCAAGGCAACGAUGCAUAGCCGACCUGAGAGGGUGAUCGGCCACACUGGAACUGAGACAUGGUCCAGACUCCUACGGGAGGCAGCAGUAGGGAAUCUUCCGCAAUGGGCGAAGGCCUGACGGAGCAACGCCGCGUGAGUGAUGAAGGUCUUCGGAUCGUAAAACUCUGUUAUUAGGGAAGAACAUAUGUGUAAGUAACUGUGCACAUCUUGACGGUACCUAAUCAGAAAGCCACGGCUAACUACGUG
This 497-nucleotide ribosomal RNA is filed under the name uncultured bacterium. RNAcentral describes it as "partial 16S ribosomal RNA". It matches the Rfam family "Bacterial small subunit ribosomal RNA", at positions 28 to 507 of the family's 1533-position model. The record is from RNAcentral.